This 587-nucleotide ribosomal RNA is filed under the name uncultured bacterium. Its description in RNAcentral is "bacterial SSU rRNA". It matches the Rfam family "Bacterial small subunit ribosomal RNA", at positions 338 to 916 of the family's 1533-position model. The record is from RNAcentral.
CCUACGGGAGGCAGCAGUAGGGAAUCUUCCACAAUGGACGAAAGUCUGAUGGAGCAACGCCGCGUGAGUGAUGAAGGUUUUCGGAUCGUAAAACUCUGUUGUAAGGGAAGAACAAGUACGAGAGGGAAUGCUCGUACCUUGACGGUACCUUGCGAGAAAGCCACGGCUAACUACGUGCCAGCAGCCGCGGUAAUACGUAGGUGGCAAGCGUUGUCCGGAAUUAUUGGGCGUAAAGCGCGCGCAGGCGGCCUUUUAAGUCUGAUGUGAAAGCCCCCGGCUCAACCGGGGAGGGUCAUUGGAAACUGGAAGGCUUGAGUACAGAAGAGAAGAGUGGAAUUCCAUGUGUAGCGGUGAAAUGCGUAGAGAUGUGGAGGAACACCAGUGGCGAAGGCGACUCUUUGGUCUGUAACUGACGCUGAGGCGCGAAAGCGUGGGGAGCAAACAGGAUUAGAUACCCUGGUAGUCCACGCCGUAAACGAUGAGUGCUAGGUGUUGGGGGGUUUCCGCCCCUCAGUGCUGAAGCUAACGCAUUAAGCACUCCGCCUGGGGAGUACGGCCGCAAGGCUGAAACUUAAAUGAAUUGACGG